This 539-nucleotide ribosomal RNA is filed under the name Neozeleboria sp. MSPW3. RNAcentral's name for it is "partial 16S ribosomal RNA". The stretch from base 401 to 539 matches the Rfam family "Bacterial large subunit ribosomal RNA", at positions 2473 to 2612 of the family's 2925-position model. Lineage: Eukaryota; Metazoa; Arthropoda; Insecta; Hymenoptera; Thynnidae. The record is from RNAcentral.
UAACAAAAACAUGGUUUUUUGAUUAUAAUUUAAAAUCGGUUCUGCUCACUGAAUAAUUAAUUUUAAAGAGCUGCAGUAUUUUGACUGUGCAAAGGUAGCAAAAUCAUUUGUUUUUUUAUUGUAAACUGGAAUGAAAGAGUUGAUGAGAUAUAUACUGUCUCAAUUUAAUAUAUAGAAAUUGAAAUUUAAGUUAAAAUUCUUAAAUUUAUUUAUUAGACGAGAAGACCCUAUAGAAUUUUAUAAAUUUUGUAAAUUUUUUUUGUUAAGAUUAAUUUAAAAUAUUUUACAUAUAAUUUAUUUUGUUGGGAGGAUUUUUAGAUUUAUAUAACUUUGAAUUUUAUUAACCAAUGAUUUUUGAUUGUUAGAGUUUAAAAUAAUUGAAAGAUUAAAUUACCUUAGGGAUAACAGCGUAAUAUUUUUGGAGAGAUCAUAUUAAUAAAAGUGUUUGCGACCUCGAUGUUGAAUUAAGAUAAAAAUUAAAUGUAGAAGUUUAAUAUUUAAGUUUGUUCAACUUUUAAAAUCUUACGUGAUCUGAGUUC